UCGAGAGAGAUUCCAUUAGUUGUCUCUAUGAAUAGUG
RNAcentral lists this small RNA (37 nucleotides) under Plasmodium falciparum 3D7. RNAcentral describes it as "Pfa-mtR116". Lineage: Eukaryota; Apicomplexa; Aconoidasida; Haemosporida; Plasmodiidae. The record is from RNAcentral.